This 79-nucleotide transfer RNA is filed under the name Escherichia coli. RNAcentral's name for it is "tRNA-Phe". Lineage: Bacteria; Pseudomonadati; Pseudomonadota; Gammaproteobacteria; Enterobacterales; Enterobacteriaceae. The record is from RNAcentral.
GACGAGAUGUGCAGAUUACCGGUAGAGCAGGGGAUUGAAAAUCCCCGUGUCCUUGGUUCGAUUCCGAGUCCGGGCACCA